CAGUCGCCGCGGGAAUACGUAGGUGGCAAGCGUUGUCCGGAAUUAUUGGGCGUAAAGGGCUCGCAGGCGGUUUCUUAAGUCUGAUGUGAAAGCCCCCGGCUCAACCGGGGAGGGUCAUUGGAAACUGGGAAACUUGAGUGCAGAAGAGGGGAGUGGAAUUCCACGUGUAGCGGUGAAAUGCGUAGAGAUGUGGAGGAACACCAGUGGCGAAGGCGACUCUCUGGUCUGUAACUGACGCUGAGGAGCGAAAGCGUGGGGAGCGAACAGGAUUAGAUACCCGGGUAGUCCCUGUCUCUUAUAC
RNAcentral lists this ribosomal RNA (301 nucleotides) under uncultured bacterium. RNAcentral describes it as "partial 16S ribosomal RNA". It matches the Rfam family "Bacterial small subunit ribosomal RNA", at positions 509 to 807 of the family's 1533-position model. The record is from RNAcentral.